Molecule: ribosomal RNA, 454 nt
Filed under: uncultured bacterium
Lineage: Bacteria
Description: partial 16S ribosomal RNA
Rfam family: Bacterial small subunit ribosomal RNA
Source: RNAcentral
GAUGAACGCUGACAGAAUGCUUAACACAUGCAAGUCAACUUGAACUUCGGUUUGGGUGGCGGACGGGUGAGUAACGCGUAAAGAACUUGCCUCACAGCUAGGGACAACAUUUGGAAACGAAUGCUAAUACCUGAUAUUAUGAUUUUAGGGCAUCCUAGAAUUAUGAAAGCUAUAUGCGCUGUGAGAGAGCUUUGCGUCCCAUUAGCUAGUUGGAGAGGUAACGGCUCACCAAGGCGAUGAUGGGUAGCCGGCCUGAGAGGGUGAACGGCCACAAGGGGACGGAGACACGGCCCUUACUCCUACGGGAGGCAGCAGGGGGGAAUAUUGGACAAUGGACCAAGAGUCUGAUCCAGCAAUUCUGUGUGCACGAUGAAGUUUUUCGGAAUGUAAAGUGCUUUCAGUUGGGAAGAAAAAAAUGACGGUACCAACAGAAGAAGUGACGGCUAAAUACGUG